This 7771-nucleotide long non-coding RNA is filed under the name Lactuca sativa (garden lettuce). RNAcentral describes it as "long non-coding RNA (LSAT_LNC003161)". The record is from RNAcentral. Lineage: Eukaryota; Viridiplantae; Streptophyta; Magnoliopsida; Asterales; Asteraceae.
AUGUGAUUGAUAACCCGCAUGCACAAGAUUUUACCACUGUACACUGUUUUACCUAGUAGGACACUAUAAUGGUUUUCAAUUGUUUCAAAACUUUUACUCAUACUGUUUUAUCUAAAUUCAUUCCAACUGAUUUAUGAAAGAUUUUCCAAGGUUUUCAAACAUAUUUUGCAAAAGAAUACAAAUUGUGAUUUUCUCCGGAUAUAAAGGGUUUUCAUCAAAUGUCACAUCUUAUAGACGCUUGUAGGGCGUCUGGUACUCUAGUUAGUAUGGUUACGAGUAUCCCGGGUUACCUUAUAAUUCACUGGCUUUAAAGUAACGGUAUUUCGCCAGCUAUUUACACUGUAUGCUGGUAACUCAUUUUCAGAUUCACACUGUUUUGACCUUACAAGACGUAUCUUUCAUUUGAUGCUGUCUGGGGUCUGUCUCCACUGUAUUCACAGAAUCCACUGUAUUCACAAAAUCCACUGUAUUCACUGUGUUCACUGUNUGUGUUCACUAUGUUCAGACCUCGCUAGACGUAUCUUUCAUUUGAUAUUGUCUGCGGUCUGUAUUCACUGUUUUAGACCUUACUAGUUGUACCUUUCAUUUGGUACCUUCUGGGGCCUGUGUCUCCACUUGUUAGAUUGAACCAGGCGUGUCGUUCGUUUGAUACUUUCCUGGAGUCUAUGGUUCCUUGCCUUAGUCAGCAAUCCACACUGCUGAGGCAUAUGGUAUUCCCUGAUGUCAUUUGCUUUCCUCAAUAAUCAAAUUCAGUAUUUUGAUAAUGAUAGCAACUUAGGGAAAACUACUUUUACCACACAUCACUGACCAGUCUUGGUAGAAGGCUGCUUUUAUUAAAGAAAAUAUAGGAUUUUCUGGAAAGGACUCUAAUACACUGAAAUCUCUUAAACUAUUACUUUAUUAAGUUAUUUGAAUGAAAUGUCACUAAAUGCUUAUGAACUCACCAGCAUUUGUAAAAAUGCUGAUACUCGCUUUUCAAAUAACUUGUAUUCUCAGGUUAGCAUUAGACAGGUACAUCCCGGAGCUGUUGAUGAAGAUAGCUUAGUGCCACGCUGUAUUUAUUCUAUUACUUGUAUUACUUUGAUGUAUUAAUGUAACCAUGUAAAACUAUUACUAUUAAUGCAAUGUUUUGUUGUACUUUGAUUACUAUAAUGCAUGUGUUGUGAUACUUGACAUGACGUCAUCCACCCCAGAACGUUUCCGCCGUUCCGGUUUUGGGGUGUGACAGAUUGGUAUCAGAGCAUUGUUUAUAGUGAGCUAAGUAUAUCAAUUCAUAAAAGAUAUACAACCUAUAAACACAAAGGGAUAAAACACUCUGACCAAGAAUUAUACUUUAAAAUAUAACCAUAUUUUACCAAAGUAUAAUAACAUCCAGAAUCUAAACACUCGAACAAAAGUAUCACAAGAAGAACAAUAAUAAAAGUCUUCGGAUGUUGAGCACUACAGUCAAACCUGGGCAGUUAUGUAAUCGUAAGCUGGGAUAAAUGUAACCUGAUCAACUACAUUUAUCCGAGAUGCGAUGAACGUGUGCUUGGGAGUGAUAGUGGUGUACAACAGGUCUGAAACUUACCAACUAGGAAUGCUAGAGCCAAACAUAAAGUUAAAAUACUAUAGGAGUAUUUUAGAACACUAAAAGAUCCACACUAAUCCCAGAAUGAAACUCAGAAGAUAAGAAUCAAACAAGAAUUAAAAUACCAUAGGGGUAUUUUAGAAUCCAUAAACAACCUUGCGUGAAUAACUAAAAAGAUCCUUAUUGAUAUACCUACAACUACAGAGGGUAUACUCCCAAGGUUAUAUAUAAUAAGGAUCCCAUAGGCUAAGAAUGUGUGGUUUCGCUCUAUUUCCUUUUCCUCGUUGGGAUGUGGUUCUAGAGUAGUAUCACAUAUUCGAAGGCCUAUCGGAUCUAAGCUAUAUAUGAUUUGUAUACCCUGUGUAAUCGUAGCAGGACUCGAUAUGGAUCAUACAGUGAAAUGUUAAUAAUCUCUUAGGAUUCUUUAGACAUUUCCAUUCUCGCACGAACCCUGUAGAAAACCCUACCCACUUCAGUGCAUAACAGAAGAGUUGAAUUCGACCCCGAAGAGGUUCAUUGAGAAGAUUUCCUGUUCGGAAAUAAAUGAACUGGGUCGAGACUAUUGAAUGCACCAAGUGCCCAUAUUCUUUUAGGGACAGUGGUGAGAGAUUCGCCUAAACUUCGGAGAUUCCCAGUCAUCCAUCAUGAAGUGAUGACACCCAGAGUUGGAAUCAGAAGGAAGGCGGAGUAGAAAUUCAAUAUGUCCAUACGAGAAGAGAACCCUAGGAAACUACCCGAAGGAAACCAACGCCGAUUCCAGUCAAAGAUACGAGGCAGACCGAGGGAGCCAGUACAUGGAACCCGGGAAUUGUCUUUUCCUCGUGUUCGUCACGCUAAUACACCCUUAAAAUAAUACAAUUUAGUGAGUUAGUGGUUACACUACUCACGCUAUGUGUUAGGUAAAUCGUCGUUUCCCGUUGCCAGAUACACGAUUAGGGCGGAUCCCCGCAUCUCUAUUGAGAGAAUUUUAGCUAUCUGCCCUUGUGAGCCUCUCUUUCCACGAUUUCGUUCCGAACCGUUCUCAAUUCUCUCCAGGCCGGAGAGUGAAACCUUUCCCAGUAUAAAGGUAACUUAGUAGGAACGACUCGCAUCUUAUGGCCUUUUUCCGAUACUCAUACUCUUACCUUGAUUACCAGGACUACAUCAUAGGGAUGUAGGUCGACACUCAGACAACCAGUACCCGAGGCACGGGAAAAAUUUAUGCCUAAUACGUUCAGGACAGAAAUGUCCAGGGUUAACCAUCGUCUCUCAUUACCUUGUAUUCCUUUCCGUGUAGGAAAACCAUGCCACCGAAGAAGCGUAACCAAUCCACAAGCAAGAAACCUACUCUCUUAUUCGAUGAAGCUACGUUCCAAGCUGCAGUCUCAGCAGCCGUAGCAGCUGUCAUGGCUCACCUGAAUGCUAACACCGCCAAUGUUAGCAAGGGCCCUGUCGGGAUUUCCAAUCCUGGCGAUGGACAGCAGCAACCAACACUUUCAUACCCAGUCACCCAAGAACCUUCACCGAACCCACUAAAGAGAAAACUCAAGAUUGAGGAGGGAAGUACCUCGGCUCAAGGACCUUCUGAAAGGCGACGAGCUGAGGCAGUCUAUACCCCUGUCAAUCCUUCCCUCCCGACCUCAAGAAGACCAUACCUAGGAGACCUUCCCCACUGCAGCAAGUGCAGCUACCAUCAUCAUGGUGCCUGCCGGGAACUCUUAUGUGCUAGGUGCAACAUGAAGGGGCAUACUGCUCGUGUAUGCAGAACUCCGGUGGAGCGUAUUGCAUCAAUCACCAAUGUGACGACAAAUCCAGUUUGCCGUCUAUGUGGUGCGAUUGGACACUUCAAAAGAGAUUGCCCAACUGAAGGAAACAACAAAGACACAGAAGGAGCCUAACUCUACUGCUUAGGAAGAAGCACCAAGACACUAGGUAGAUUUUUGGUACGUUUCCAGAUCUCGGAUAACUAAACUGAAAACAAUAAAAGACUAAUUCAAAUGUAAAUUCUUCCCAGUAAGGCGAAAGUCGCAGCACUGUUAUAAAAUUUAAAAAUUCAUUAGGUAAAACUAUAAUGGCUAAACAUAUACGUUACGACCAUGUAUAUUUAAGAUGGACAGACCUAGAGUGAGCGAAUGCCGCCUCAUUUCCUGUUCCUCGUUUGGUUGUGGAUUUAGGGCGGGGUCGCUCAGUCAACAGUCCUCCCCACCUUAAAUAUACAUGACUAGUAUAUGUGAGGCGAUUAUAGAAAUGCCUCGUGAGAAUCCGUUCAUGAAAAGGUACUCCACUCAGAAACACCUAGAACUCUCUAUAGUUCCACGUCGACUCUAUCGGUCCAAGUAUCCGCGGUAGUGAUAUAUAGGACGAAACCUGAGAUGCCUAGAACUUGUGUGCCCGUUCGGCACAUGACCCUAUCGAUCCUCACUUUAUAUCAUGUCGGAGUGUGCCAACUUCGACGACUCUAUUGAUCAUGGUUUGAUUUCGUGCAAUCAUGUGUACACUCUUAGUGCUGUGUAAAAAGAACUUUCUCUGUAGCCAUGUUGGCAAAUAAAGGUUCUUCCGAACCUAAACCUAACACAAAUAAUCAAACCUAAUGUGAUCCGUCAAUCGUCCCUCUUAUCUCAAACCUUGCAAAGUACCCAAGGGAAGGUACCGCACACUGUUGACCGACCCCUCGUAGUCAGAUAAACACCGAAGCGAAAGGCACCGCAGAUACUCUAAGAAGACGACCACCAUCCGAAGCAUACUCCGUAGAAUCCCCUGGGAGACCCUUCGCACCUCGCACACCAGGUUUGUGAACCCAGAGAAUAGAACUCAUGAGGCUGACCACUAUAACCAGGUAUACUGCUGGCAUCCAUCAAGUAUUGGCGGUUAAGCCAAGCAUGAGCUCUACCACAGACCUCUUCGCAAAACACUUUCACCCUAUUCCAUAACAUAGGAGCCGGAGUCAAGAGAAUCUCUGCGGGUUGAGCGAGUAAAGUUCCGAGUGAUGAGACCCUAUACCCACUAGAUUUGACCUAGACCGAGAAAACUCAGAAACUUCGGAAGAGUAGCUGCAGUAGAUACUCGCAUUACUCAGGCACCCCGUCCACCCAGUUAUAGACGAGCAGUGCCUAUCAUCCUCCACCCUCUUGCAUGGAGGAAAUUGUCGUCGCCCUGUAGACAAUAAAAGACAUUCUCUGAAGUGAACACUAGGAUACCGAGAACCACAGGGUAACCUUCGUAGCCAAGAAUACUUGGUCAAGUGCGAAAGUAUUUGCGUUAAGUCUCAUGACCCGGAUCCCGAGGAGAUUAUAGACUUGAAACCAGCCCUGGUGUUAGUCGAAGGGUUAUGCAGGAACAUACACUUUCCACGCAAGAAUAAACCACGGUCUUAGAGAUUCCUUGGACUAUUAGGUGUUCCACGAAUACUAUCUCACGCAGAGAUAGUAGAACCACCUCCCAAGAUAGUCCAACACUCACCCAGUGAAACCCUAUCUCCCCGACCCUCAGGGUUUCCGUAUCUCAAGCAUCGUUAGUGCAGGUCCAUUUUGCACGAGUUUGGGAUAGACACUCUACAGCAAACCGAUAACCAUAGUCACGCAACCCACUCGACAAUCCAGAAAGUAUCUAUCAGCCAGGUGACAAAAAACACGAAACCAAAGACCGCUCGAGAUUUCUAAGAACCAACCUGAAGGACUACACUACCAGUACGAGAGAGAACGUUAGGAACUUCGGAAUGGUGAUCACGCCAGUGAUGAUCUUGCCAUAGAAGUACACUAUGUUCUAAGUACUGAAAAGCUAUACCCUUCCGAGAGCGUAGGACCAUCCAAGAAUCCUCACNCCCACCCCUUUCCAGGCCGCUACUACCCUCGGAUAUACCACAAGAUUCACACCCGAUCGAUCCGCUUCUUAGACUUGAUAUGUGAUCUCCCGACAACACUCUUCGUGCCUCACUCAUCUUGAUAGAAUCCAUUGGGAACCCUAACCAUGAGAAUACACCUGUUGGAAACCCACUAGCUACACUAGACGGAAUCCGCAUCCCGUACGUGAGGGUCUGUUGGAAUGACAAACACAGACCAGAGAUCACAUGGGAAUGUGAGGGCGACCGUAUAGGAAGUACUCCCUUACCCCUACUUGGCCAUACAUACCAACUUCCUUGCCUAGACCUGAAUUUCGGGACGAAAUUCCCUCUAACGGGGGGAUGAUGUGACAACCCAAGUUGUUCCGUUACAUUUUCCCCGUUACCGUUAACGGAAUAUUCCAGUUUAUAAAAGUUCCGUUAAUUAGAGGUCGUCAAUUCAAUAGAAAUUCCAUUUGUUUUCACCUUUUAUGCCGUUAAGUCGUGGUAAAAGAAAAUAAAAGCACUUAACACACAUAUCCAUUUAUUUGGAAAAUGUUGAGUUUUAUUAUUACGACCACUAAAUCGGGUGCGACCAAAAGCCCCGUUUAACGGCAGUAUCGGGUAGAAUUCCACUGAGCCCCGACUCGAAAACCUAUAUAAAGGUGAGUGGAGUCCAUUGGAGACUUUUUACACACUCUCUCUCUCUCUCUCUAUACUCUCUCUCUAGACUCGUUUUCGCCCCGAAUCCGCAACCAAACGCUUCCAAAUUGUAAGUCCGUUUACCCUAGCUUAUUCUAAACAUAUUGAUUCAUGUUUAUAGCCCAAAAUUCGGACUUAGAAGCUUUUAGAAUGGAGUUUACGGCCUAAGCUCCUUCUUAGGCCGUAAACCCCUUAAACAAGGCCAAAAGACCCCAAACUUGUCCCUAUAGGCUUGGAAAUAAAUUAAGGGAAUUGCCUAGGAGUGUUUAAACAUCAAAACACAAUGAUUUAGGGCAAAAAUGAGAGUUUACGGCCCAAGCACAUGCUUAGGCCGUAAACCCCUCAAAACCUUGUCAAAAUGCCCCAAAAACACUCCCAAAUCACCCUUAGGCUUCAUACAUAAUUUAGGGACUUAGUAUUUUGGGUUUAGCACAAUUAAACACAAUGAAAUGAAAGGGAAAAAGGAGUUUACGGCCCAGGUGUAUACCAAGUCCGUAAACACCCCUAAAUGUGCCAAAAGUGUGGUUUUUGCCCCCCAAAUGGCCUUAGACAUUUACCAUAAAUACUAGGAUUGAAACAAGGGCUUAAACACAAGAAAUGGAGGGAUAAAAAGGAGUUUACGGCCCAAGCUAGUGUCUAGGCCGUAAACUCCCCAAAACACAUCCAAAUGAUGGUUUUAAUCCCCCAAAAUGGCAUCACACUCCAUUAGAAAUUGCUAGAAAGGUAAUAGGGGCUUAAAACUUCACUUAACUCAAAGAAUGAGAGUUUACGGCCGUAAACUCCCAUAGGAGUGUCCCUAGGCCGUAAACUCCUAUAAGGUGCCCUUAGAAGCCUUAAACCCACUCAUGCCUUUUUAGAAAAGUACUUAGAAUAAUCCCAUGAACAAGCUAGAAGCCUUAAAACACCAUAGAACCCAUCACCAUGAGUUUACGGCCGUAAACUCAUGGUGAGUANNNNNNNNNNNNNNNNNNNNNNNNNNNNNNNNNNNNNNNNNNNNNNNNNNNNNNNNNNNUCACCAUGAGUUUACGGCCGUAAACUCAUGGUGAGUAGUCCCUGGGCCGUAAACAUCAUAUUAAGGGUUUAAUCUUGGAGAGUAAACUCCAUUCCUAAGCCAUACACACCCUUAAACGCUACCCGGGACACCCAAACACUUAACCAAAGUGUUUUCCGCUCCUGUGAGCGCGUAUAUUUGUUUAAUUAGUAUUAAAUAUACUAAUUGUAUGUAAACAUAUGUUACCAUAUGUUAAAUAGGUCAUUGUGUGUGUUCGAGUCCUUGCGUGACACCGAACGCCCAAACGGCACCUUCGUCGGACCUACUUACACCAGGUGAGUUCAUACCCCUGAAUGAACCUUUUAAAUGUUUUUACAUGUUUUAUAGGGGGGAAUACAAGUUAAACAUGCCAGUUAUCAUAUCAAUCACAUGUGAUUGAUAACCCGCAUGCACAAGAUUUUACCACUGUACACUGUUUUACCGAGUAGGACACUAUAAUGGUUUUCAAUUGUUUCAAAACUCUUACUUAUACUGUUUUAUCUAAAUUCAUUCUAAACUGGUUUAUGAAAGAUUUUCUAAGGUUUUCAAACAUAUUUUACAAAAGAAUACAAAUUGUGAUUUUCUCCGGAUAUAAAGGUUUUUCAUCAAAGUUUCCCUUUUUCGACGUAUACUUUUACUUGUUAAAUACUACUGCUUCGCUUAUACUUAUCUU